Molecule: RNA transcript, 1827 nt
Organism: Oncorhynchus tshawytscha (Chinook salmon)
Lineage: Eukaryota; Metazoa; Chordata; Actinopteri; Salmoniformes; Salmonidae
Gene name: myosin-binding protein H
Exons: 12
Source: RefSeq, a predicted model, not a curated record
UUCCUCUAGAGUGAUGAGUCUUUGAGGACUUAAUGACUUUGGGAGUAGCAGCAGAAACCGCCACCAUGUCUAACGCUGCACCCGCUGAAGCCGCACCUGCUGAGGCUACUUCCACUGCCGAGGGCGAAGCUCUACCGGCAGAGACUGCACCUGCCGAGGGAAAGGCCCCAGCGGAGGCCGCUCCAGCUGAAGGAGAAGCUCCGGCUGAACCCGCGCCUGAGGAGCCCAAAGCCCCCACACCCCCUCCUCCAGAUGAGCCCACCAGCGAGCCCCUGGAAGUGACAGUGGAGGACAAGAGUGACUCUUCAGUGACCAUCACCUGGAGGCCUCCAAAGACCAUUCCGGCCAACUCUGGCCUGGAUGGAUACACUGUGGAAAUCACCAAGGAGGGAACCGAAGACUGGAAAGCAGUCAAUGAGGACCUGACCGUGUCCUGUCGUUAUGCUAUCAAGAACCAGACUACCGGCGACCGUCUGCUGGUCCGGGUGGUGGCUGUGAACUCCGGUGGCCGCAGUCCCCCUGCUACCAUCGCCGAUCCCAUUCUGGUCAAGGAGGUUGGGGCUCGCCCCAAAGUCCGCCUGCCUCGUUUCCUGAGGCAGAGGUAUGUCAAGAAAGUCGGUGAGAAGAUUAACCUUGUCAUCCCCUUCUCUGGCAAGCCUAAGCCAGUGGUUACCUGGUUAAAGGAUGGAGAGCCCCUUGACCCAAAGAGGGCCAACAUCCGUACAUCUGACACAGACAGCAUCCUGUUCGUCCGUCAAGCAGAGAGAGUGGACUCUGGCUCAUACGAGAUGUGCGUGAAGGUGGAAGACUUUGAAGACAAAGCUGCUAUCAUCAUCCAGAUUAUUGAGCUGCCUGGGCCACCAGCCAGCAUUAAGGUUGCGGAUGUCUGGGGAUUCAAUGUUGCCCUUGAGUGGACCGCACCUAAAGAUAACGGAAACACAGAGAUCACAGGCUACACCGUCCAGAAGGCUGACAAGAAAACCGGGGACUGGUUCAACAUUCUGGAGCACUACACCAGACUAAAUGCCACCAUCUCAGACCUCAUCAUGGGCAACACCUACACCUUCAGGAUCUUUGCAGAGAACAAGUGUGGACUCAGUGAGGAAUGUGCCAGGACCAAGGAAGAAGCCACCAUUGUGAAGGAGGUUAUUGACUAUAAACCUACCCCGUUCGUGGAGCGUGACUUCACCGAGGCUCCCAAGUUCACCACUGUUCUGAACGACAGGUCCACCACUGUUGGCUACAGCACCAAGCUGCUGUGCUCUGUGAGGGGAUCCCCCAAGCCUAAGAUUAUGUGGAUGAAGAACAAGAUGAUCCUCAACAACAUGGAUAACCCCAAGUACAGGAUGAUCAGCACAGGGGGCAUCUGCACCCUGGAGAUCCGUAAGCCUGGCCAAUAUGACGGUGGAGAGUAUGUCUGCAGAGCUGAGAACCAACUGGGGAAGGUCGACACUGGCUGCAAGCUGGAGGUCAAAAAGCCUGUUUAUGCAGAUGCUGACAAAGACAAGGAGGCAGAGUGAAUGAACAUGCAUACAGUCCCAAGUUAGAAGCAAGCUAAAUGAGGCCUUUAUAAGAAAAGGACGGAGCUGGAUGCUGGAAAAACAUGUACAUAUAACUGGAAAGAACAUACAAUCAAAUUGUUAUUACCUACAACCGCUGUAUCCUAACCUAUCCCACCCUAUCCUAUUUUAAUGAAGAUUAAACAUGUGUCCCCUUUAUUUGUAUUUUUUUCCCUUAGUACUUACUCUCUGAAAUAGUUCAUAUCCAUGUCCACAACUCAGAUGUAAAACCUCGGAAUGUUUGUUACAAUAAAGAUUUUGAUUCAUG